RNAcentral lists this long non-coding RNA (1170 nucleotides) under Heterocephalus glaber (naked mole-rat). RNAcentral's name for it is "lncRNA (ENSHGLG00100043861.1)". The record is from RNAcentral. Lineage: Eukaryota; Metazoa; Chordata; Mammalia; Rodentia; Bathyergidae.
CCAGUCCCAGUCAGGCCCUAUUGCCAAUCAACUGACCCACAGGAGUUUAUCGGGGAAGCCUCUAGAGGAAGUCCUAGCCAAGAAACUGGGGAAAGUCACUAUUGCUGCACUCCAGACACAAGAGACAGUCCCUCUGGACAGAAAAAGAGAAAGCCGCCUUUUUGGCUUUAAAGAAAACCUUAGUGUCAGCACCAGCCCUGGCCCUACCUGAUCUCACCAAGCCUUUUUGGUUGUCUGUGGCUGAACAAGGGGGCAUAGGCAAAGGAGUGCUAGCUCAGGCAUUAGGGCCUUGAAACAGACCUGUGGCCUACUGUCUAAAAGACUUGAUCCUGUGGCAAGUGGAUGGUCUACCCAUUUGAGGGCAGUUGUAGCCACCACCCUCCUGGUCAAGGAGGCAGAUAUGCUCAGCCUGGGAUGGGACCUGGUCAUCACCGCACCCCAUGUGGUGGAAACAUUGCUGAGAGGAGCUCCAGAAUGAUGGCUCUCCAACACCUGCCUGACUCAGUACCAGGCCGUUGCUGUAUGCUUCAUGCAUCAAAUUCACCUGAGAAAUGACCCUCAAUCUGGCCACCUUACUCCUGGACUCCGACUCAUACACAUGCCCCUCCAUGACUGUCUGGACACUCUGACAACUUCCACCACCAACAGCCCAGAUCUGACUGAUGUUGCCCUGCAAAGCCCAGAUGAGUCCUUCUUCACUGAUGAAAACAGCUUCAUGGAAGACUGAAUCAGUCUCUUCAAGCCUUACAGAUUCUUCAGAGUGAGAUCCAGGCUACAAAACAACAGGCUUGAGAAAAAAAACCUUUGCAAUGUUCCAGCCCCAUGGUUUCAAGCCAGGAGACCUGGUCCUGAUAUGCUUGGUUUGCUUGCACCGAGGACUUGACUAAAUACAUUCCCAAAUCAAUCUUGGCUACCCAAUCUGCCACUUUAUUUUGUGUCACUGUGUAUGUUGUUCCACAAGUCUUGUAUUAUAAUAAAAGAGGGGGCUGCAAACAUCUGGGAUUAACCACUGAACACUACAGGAGUAAACGAGCUGCCCCCAUUUUAGUGCCCAUUCUGGUGGGAUUAGGAAUAGCUGGGUCAGUGGCUAGUGGAACUUCCUCCCUGAUCCUUCAGGACACAAAUUUUAAAAGCCCUAAGCCACCAAGUAGCCAGAGAUUUGGGUCACCU